This 253-nucleotide ribosomal RNA is filed under the name uncultured bacterium. RNAcentral describes it as "partial 16S ribosomal RNA". It matches the Rfam family "Bacterial small subunit ribosomal RNA", at positions 524 to 776 of the family's 1533-position model. The record is from RNAcentral.
UACGGAGGGGGCAAGCGUUAUUCGGAAUUAUUGGGCGUAAAGGGCGCGUAGGCGGCUAGAUGUGUCAAAGGUGAAAUCCCUCGGCUCAACUGAGGAACUGCCUUUGAAACUGUCUGGCUUGAGGCCGGGAGAGGGUAGCGGAAUUCCCAGUGUAGCGGUGAAAUGCGUAGAUAUUGGGAGGAACACCGGUGGCGAAGGCGGCGACCUGGUCCUUGACUGACGCUGAGGCGCGAAAGCGUGGGGAGCAAACAGG